Small nucleolar RNA from Zingiber officinale, 107 nucleotides. The record is from RefSeq and is a predicted model, not a curated record. Lineage: Eukaryota; Viridiplantae; Streptophyta; Magnoliopsida; Zingiberales; Zingiberaceae.
AAACCAUGGUGUGGACAUUGCUGCAACAAGUUUAGGAAUUUGUCCCAUGCUUUGCAUAAUGACUCUCCAUCUUUUUGUUCAAAGUUCAUGAUUUAAUUGCUUAGAUC